RNAcentral lists this ribosomal RNA (290 nucleotides) under uncultured bacterium. RNAcentral's name for it is "partial 16S ribosomal RNA". It matches the Rfam family "Bacterial small subunit ribosomal RNA", at positions 333 to 620 of the family's 1533-position model. The record is from RNAcentral.
AGCGGCCUACGGGGCGCAGCAGUGGGGAAUAUUGGUCAAUGGGCGCGAGCCUGAACCAGCCAAGUCGCGUGAGGGAAGACGGUCCUAUGGAUUGUAAACCUCUUUUGUCGGGGAGCAAAAGACGCCACGCGUGGCGUUCCGAGAGUACCCGAAGAAAAAGCAUCGGCUAACUCCGUGCCAGCAGCCGCGGUAAUACGGAGGAUGCGAGCGUUAUCCGGAUUUAUUAGGUUUAAAGGGUGCGCAGGCGGAAGAUCAAGUCAGCGGUAAAAUUGAGAGGCUCAACCUCUUCG